RNAcentral lists this ribosomal RNA (324 nucleotides) under uncultured bacterium. Its description in RNAcentral is "bacterial SSU rRNA". It matches the Rfam family "Bacterial small subunit ribosomal RNA", at positions 471 to 793 of the family's 1533-position model. The record is from RNAcentral.
GACGUUAGACUGCAGAAGAAGCACCGGCUAACUCCGUGCCAGCAGCCGCGGUAAUACGGAGGGUGCGAGCGUUAAUCGGAAUUACUGGGCGUAAAGCGCAUGCAGGUGGUUUGUUAAGUCAGAUGUGAAAGCCCCGGGGCUCAACCUCGGAAUUGCAUUUGAAACUGGCAACUAGAGUACUGUAGAGGGGGUAGAAUUUCAGGUGUAGCGGUGAAAUGCGUAGAGAUCUGAAGGAAUACCGGUGGCGAAGGCGGCCCCCUCGGACAGAUACUGACACUCAGAUGCGAAAGCGUGGGGAGCAAACAGGAUUAGAUACCCUGGUAG